AGUGAACGCUGGCGGUAGGCCUAACACAUGCAAGUCGAACGGCAGCACAGAGGAGCUUGCUCCUUGGGUGGCGAGUGGCGGACGGGUGAGGAAUACAUCGGAAUCUACUCUGUCGUGGGGGAUAACGUAGGGAAACUUACGCUAAUACCGCAUACGACCUACGGGUGAAAGCAGGGGAUCUUCGGACCUUGCGCGAUUGAAUGAGCCGAUGUCGGAUUAGCUGGUUGGCGGGGUAAAGGCCCACCAAGGCGACGAUCCGUAGCUGGUCUGAGAGGAUGAUCAGCCACACUGGAACUGAGACACGGUCCAGACUCCUACGGGAGGCAGCAGUGGGGAAUAUUGGACAAUGGGCGCAAGCCUGAUCCAGCCAUACCGCGUGGGUGAAGAAGGCCUUCGAGUUGUAAAGCCCUUUUGUUGGGAAAGAAAUCCAUCUGGUUAAUACCCGGGUGGGAUGACGGUACCCGAAGAAUAAGCACCGGCUAACUUCGUGCCAGCCGCCGCCGUAA
This 506-nucleotide ribosomal RNA is filed under the name uncultured bacterium. Its description in RNAcentral is "partial 16S ribosomal RNA". It matches the Rfam family "Bacterial small subunit ribosomal RNA", at positions 29 to 523 of the family's 1533-position model. The record is from RNAcentral.